UUAAGUGACUAAGCGUACACGGUGGAUGCCUGGGCAGUCAGAGGCGAUGAAGGACGUACUAACUUGCGAUAAGCGCAGAUAAGGCAGUAAGAGCCGUUUGAGUCUGCGAUUUCCGAAUGGGGAAACCCAACUGCAUAAGCAGUUACUGUUAACUGAAUACAUAGGUUAACAGAGCAAACCGGGGGAACUGAAACAUCUAAGUACCCCGAGGAGAAGAAAUCAACCGAGAUUCCGGUAGUAGCGGCGAGCGAACCUGGAUUAGCCCUUAAGCACUCGGUGAAGUAGGUGAACAAGCUGGAAAGCUUGGCGAUACAGGGUGAUAGCCCCGUAACCGACGCUUCAUCGAGCGUGAAAUCGAGUAGGGCGGGACACGUGAUAUCCUGUCUGAAUAUGGGGGGACCAUCCUCCAAGGCUAAAUACUCCUGACUGACCGAUAGUGAACCAGUACCGUGAGGGAAAGGCGAAAAGAACCCCUGUGAGGGGAGUGAAAUAGAACCUGAAACCGUGUACGUACAAGCAGUAGGAGCACCUUCGUGGUGUGACUGCGUACCUUUUGUAUAAUGGGUCAGCGACUUAUAUUCAGUGGCAAGGUUAACCGUAUAGGGGAGCCGUAGCGAAAGCGAGUCUUAACUGGGCGCUCAGUCUCUGGAUAUAGACCCGAAACCGGGUGAUCUAGCCAUGGGCAGGUUGAAGGUUGAGUAACAUCAACUGGAGGACCGAACCGACUAAUGUUGAAAAAUUAGCGGAUGACUUGUGGCUAGGGGUGAAAGGCCAAUCAAACUCGGAGAUAGCUGGUUCUCCCCGAAAGCUAUUUAGGUAGCGCCUCGGACGAAUACUACUGGGGGUAGAGCACUGUUAAGGCUAGGGGGUCAUCCCGACUUACCAACCCUUUGCAAACUCCGAAUACCAGUAAGUACUAUCCGGGAGACACACGGCGGGUGCUAACGUCCGUCGUGGAGAGGGAAACAACCCAGACCGCCAGCUAAGGUCCCAAAGUAUUGCUAAGUGGGAAACGAUGUGGGAAGGCUCAGACAGCUAGGAUGUUGGCUUAGAAGCAGCCAUCAUUUAAAGAAAGCGUAAUAGCUCACUAGUCGAGUCGGCCUGCGCGGAAGAUGUAACGGGGCUAAGCAAUACACCGAAGCUGCGGCAAUAUCUUUUAGAUAUUGGGUAGGGGAGCGUUCUGUAAGCCGUUGAAGGUGAAUCGUAAGGUUUGCUGGAGGUAUCAGAAGUGCGAAUGCUGACAUGAGUAACGACAAAGGGGGUGAAAAACCUCCUCGCCGGAAGACCAAGGGUUCCUGUCCAACGUUAAUCGGGGCAGGGUGAGUCGACCCCUAAGGUGAGGCCGAAAGGCGUAAUCGAUGGGAAACGGGUUAAUAUUCCCGUACUUCUGACUAUUGCGAUGGGGGGACGGAGAAGGCUAGGUGGGCCAGGCGACGGUUGUCCUGGUUCAAGUGCGUAGGCUUGAGAGUUAGGUAAAUCCGGCUCUCUCUAAGGCUGAGACACGACGUCGAGCUGCUACGGCAGUGAAGUCAUUGAUGCCAUGCUUCCAGGAAAAGCCUCUAAGCUUCAGAUAGUCAGGAAUCGUACCCCAAACCGACACAGGUGGUCGGGUAGAGAAUACCAAGGCGCUUGAGAGAACUCGGGUGAAGGAACUAGGCAAAAUGGUACCGUAACUUCGGGAGAAGGUACGCUCUUGAUGGUGAAGUCCCUCGCGGAUGGAGCUGACGAGAGUCGCAGAUACCAGGUGGCUGCAACUGUUUAUUAAAAACACAGCACUGUGCAAAAUCGCAAGAUGACGUAUACGGUGUGACGCCUGCCCGGUGCCGGAAGGUUAAUUGAUGGGGUUAGCGCAAGCGAAGCUCUUGAUCGAAGCCCCGGUAAACGGCGGCCGUAACUAUAACGGUCCUAAGGUAGCGAAAUUCCUUGUCGGGUAAGUUCCGACCUGCACGAAUGGCGUAAUGAUGGCCACGCUGUCUCCACCCGAGACUCAGUGAAAUUGAAAUCGCUGUGAAGAUGCAGUGUACCCGCGGCUAGACGGAAAGACCCCGUGAACCUUUACUACAGCUUGGCACUGAACAUUGAACCUACAUGUGUAGGAUAGGUGGGAGGCUAUGAAGACGUGACGCCAGUUGCGUUGGAGCCUCCUUGAAAUACCACCCUUGUAUGUUUGAUGUUCUAACUUAGACCCAUUAUCUGGGUUGAGGACAGUGCCUGGUGGGUAGUUUGACUGGGGCGGUCUCCUCCCAAAGAGUAACGGAGGAGCACGAAGGUGGGCUAAUCACGGUUGGACAUCGUGAGGUUAGUGCAAUGGCAUAAGCCCGCUUAACUGCGAGAAUGACGGUUCGAGCAGGUGCGAAAGCAGGUCAUAGUGAUCCGGUGGUUCUGUAUGGAAGGGCCAUCGCUCAACGGAUAAAAGGUACUCCGGGGAUAACAGGCUGAUACCGCCCAAGAGUUCAUAUCGACGGCGGUGUUUGGCACCUCGAUGUCGGCUCAUCACAUCCUGGGGCUGAAGUCGGUCCCAAGGGUAUGGCUGUUCGCCAUUUAAAGUGGUACGCGAGCUGGGUUUAGAACGUCGUGAGACAGUUCGGUCCCUAUCUGCCGUGGGCGUUGGAAGAUUGAAGGGGGCUGCUCCUAGUACGAGAGGACCGGAGUGGACGAACCUCUGGUGUUCGGGUUGUGUCGCCAGACGCAUUGCCCGGUAGCUAAGUUCGGAAUUGAUAAGCGCUGAAAGCAUCUAAGCGCGAAGCGAGCCCUGAGAUGAGUCUUCCCUGAUACUUUAAGUAUCCUAAAGGGUUGUUCGAGACUAGAACGUUGAUAGGCAGGGUGUGUAAGCGUUGUGAGGCGUUGAGCUAACCUGUACUAAUUGCCCGUGAGGCUUAACCA
RNAcentral lists this ribosomal RNA (2883 nucleotides) under Vibrio cholerae. RNAcentral's name for it is "23S ribosomal RNA". It matches the Rfam family "Bacterial large subunit ribosomal RNA". Lineage: Bacteria; Pseudomonadati; Pseudomonadota; Gammaproteobacteria; Vibrionales; Vibrionaceae. The record is from RNAcentral.